GGGUUUGUGGCUUAGUGGUAGAGCACUUGCCUAGCAUGUGUGAGGCACUGGGUUCGAUUCUCAGCACCA
Ictidomys tridecemlineatus (thirteen-lined ground squirrel) is the source of this 69-nucleotide non-coding RNA. NCBI's taxonomy places the organism in Eukaryota, Metazoa, Chordata, Mammalia, Rodentia, Sciuridae. The record is from Rfam.